GACGAACGCUGGCGGCGUGCCUAAUACAUGCAAGUCGAACGAGAGCGCGCGGUGCUUGCUGGGGUCAAGCUAGUGGCGGACGGGUGAUUAAUACGUGGGUAACCUGCCGAGCAGGGGGGGAUAACAUCCGGAAACGGAUGCUAAAACAGCAUAGGCCUUCGAGCCGCAUGGCUUGAAGAGGCACAGAGGUGCAAGCUUCUGCUGAUGGAUGUACCCAUGUUGGAUUGGAUAGUUGGUAGGGUAAGGGCCUACCAAGGCGGUGAGCCAUAGCGGACCUGAGAGGGCGACCGGCCACAUUGGGACUGAGACACGGCCCAAACUCCUACGGGAGGCAGCAGUGGGGAAUUUUGGACAAUGGGCGCAAGCCUGACGCAGCAAUGCCGCGUGAGUGAAGAAGGUUUUCGGGUUGUAAAACUCUGUUGUCAGGGAAGAAAAAGUGGAGGCGUAAAUGCUUGGCUAUUGACGGUACCUAACGAGAAAGCCACGGCUAACUACGUG
Molecule: ribosomal RNA, 498 nt
Filed under: uncultured bacterium
Lineage: Bacteria
Description: partial 16S ribosomal RNA
Rfam family: Bacterial small subunit ribosomal RNA
Source: RNAcentral